Molecule: ribosomal RNA, 1107 nt
Filed under: uncultured organism
Description: bacterial SSU rRNA
Rfam family: Bacterial small subunit ribosomal RNA
Source: RNAcentral
CAUGCAAGUCGAGCGAGAUACAGACGGAUUUAUUCGUUUGUAUGACAGCGGCGGACGAGCGAGUAACACGUGAGAAUUUGCCCCGUACUCAGGGAUAACAGCUCGAAAGAGUUGCUAAUACCGGAUGCCCUCGCAAGAGGAAAGAUUUAUCGGUACGGGAGAAGCUCGCGGUCUAUCAGCUAGUUGGUGGGGUAAUGGCCCACCAAGGCAAUGACGGAUAGCUGGUGUGAGAGCACGACCAGCCGCGAUGGAACUGAGACACGGUCCAUACUCCUACGGGAGGCAGCAGUAGGGAAUCUUCCGCAAUGGGCGAAAGCCUGACGGAGCGACACCGCGUGGAGGAUGACAGCCUAUGGGUUGUAAACUCCUUUUAUGGGGGAAGAAAAUUUGACGGUACCCCAUGAAUAAGCCUCGGCUAAUUCUGUGCCAGCAGCCGCGGUAAGACAGAAGAGGCAAGCGUUACCCGGAAUUACUGGGCGUAAAGCGUCCGCAGGUGGUAUGGUAAGUCUGUCAUUAAAUGCCUGUGCUCAACAUAGGCGCUGUGAUGGAAACUAUCAUACUAGAGGAGAGGAGAGGUAUGCGGAAUAGUGCAAGUAGGGGUAAAAUCCGUAGAUAUGCACUGGAACGCCAAAAGCGAAGGCAGCAUACUGGCCUUUUCCUGACACUCAGGGACGAAAGCGUGGGGAGCAAAACGGAUUAGAUACCCGUGUAGUCCACGCCGUAAACGAUGCGUGCUCGGUGUGGGGACCCUCGACCUGGUCCCCGUGCCCAAGGUAACCCGUUAAGCAUGCCGCCUGUGUACUACGGCCGCAAGGCUAAAACACAAAGGAAUAGACGGGGGCCCACACAAGCGGUGGAUCGUGGGGUUUAAUUCGAUAAUAAGCGAGUAACCUUACCUAGACUUGACAUCCCUAUCAUACCCUUCAGAGAUGAAGGGGUCGGUUCGGCCGGGAUAAGGUGACUAGGCGCUGCAUGGUUGUCGUCAGCUCGUGGCCUUGAAGGUGUUCGGUUAAGUCCGUUAACGAGCGCAACCCUGGUCGUGUGUUGUAUUUUCACGCGAGACUGCCGGUUUUAAGCCGGAGGAAGGUCAGGAUGACGUCAAAUCAG